GGGGGCGACAUGGUUUCGACGGUGGUGAUUGAAGUGUGAGCAGCGUGCCGAGGACUCCGGUGGCCUCGUAAAAAACCGGUACAAGUUAACUGCGAACAAUAACUUCGCCCUUGCUGCCUAAUUAAAAGACAGCACGUUCCUCCUGCGACUGCCUGCUAGCAGACAGGAACGCCGACAGCGGGCCUCAAUCCGGGAACGGACAGCGCACCGGGGAGAGUAUACAGUUGUCUAGCGACGCCGGGAAGCGAGUCUGACGCGUUCCGGAAGGGCGAAUCCCCAAAAGAAAGACUACGCACGUAGAUACUGACAUGGAAGCGCUAUCGGACGCGGGUUCGAUUCCCGCCGCCUCCACCA
This 354-nucleotide transfer-messenger RNA is filed under the name Candidatus Hydrogenedentes bacterium ADurb.Bin170. Its description in RNAcentral is "transfer-messenger RNA, SsrA". It matches the Rfam family "transfer-messenger RNA". Rfam says of the family: Bacterial tmRNA, also known as 10Sa RNA or SsrA, is named for its dual tRNA and mRNA-like properties. Lineage: Bacteria; Pseudomonadati; Candidatus Hydrogenedentota. RNAcentral also lists the same sequence under 2 other names. The record is from RNAcentral.